AUGCACGCUGGCGGCGUGCCUAAUACAUGCAAGUCGAGCGAACAGACGAGGAGCUUGCUCCUCUGACGUUAGCGGCGGACGGGUGAGUAACACGUGGAUAACCUACCUAUAAGACUGGGAUAACUUCGGGAAACCGGAGCUAAUACCGGAUAAUAUAUUGAACCGCAUGGUUCAAUAGUGAAAGACGGUUUUGCUGUCACUUAUUGAUGGAUCCGCGCCGCAUUAGCUAGUUGGUAAGGUAACGGCUUACCAAGGCGACGAUGCGUAGCCGACCUGAGAGGGUGAUCGGCCACACUGGAACUGAGACACGGUCCAGACUCCUACGGGAGGCAGCAGUAGGGAAUCUUCCGCAAUGGGCGAAAGCCUGACGGAGCAACGCCGCGUGAGUGAUGAAGGUCUUCGGAUCGUAAAACUCUGUUAUUAGGGAAGAACAAAUGUGUAAGUAACUAUGCACGUCUUGACGGUACCUAAUCAGAAAGCCACGGCUAACUACGUG
This 496-nucleotide ribosomal RNA is filed under the name uncultured bacterium. Its description in RNAcentral is "partial 16S ribosomal RNA". It matches the Rfam family "Bacterial small subunit ribosomal RNA", at positions 29 to 507 of the family's 1533-position model. The record is from RNAcentral.